RNAcentral lists this ribosomal RNA (251 nucleotides) under uncultured prokaryote. Its description in RNAcentral is "partial 16S rRNA". It matches the Rfam family "Bacterial small subunit ribosomal RNA", at positions 525 to 775 of the family's 1533-position model. The record is from RNAcentral.
ACGGAGGGUGCAAGCGUUAUUCGGAAUUACUGGGCGUAAAGCGCGUGUAGGCGGUCCUGCAAGUCUGAUGUGAAAGCCCCGGGCUUAACCCGGGAAGUGCAUUGGAAACUGUGGGGCUUGAGUACUGGAGAGGAUGGGGGAAUUCCCGGUGUAGCGGUGAAAUGCGUAGAGAUCGGGAGGAAUACCAGUGGCGAAGGCGCCCAUCUGGACUAUUACUGACGCUGAGACGCGAAAGCUUGGGGAGCAAACAG